Molecule: long non-coding RNA, 453 nt
Organism: Zophobas morio
Lineage: Eukaryota; Metazoa; Arthropoda; Insecta; Coleoptera; Tenebrionidae
Exons: 3
Source: RefSeq, a predicted model, not a curated record
CGCUCGUCGUUCUGCCUGGGGUUUUCUUUACCUUAACAUAUAAACGAUCAACUCUUUACAACAUAUUUACCAGUUAAGAAUCUCUCUAGUCAAUUGAUUCAGACUAUGAAACGUGCUUUAUCUUAAAACUAUUCUCUUUAUAGCCAAGCUUAUUAUCCUGGUAUUUUUGAAUCGCUCUAUUGAGAGCACAACAGUUAGUGAUGGUAAGUAAGUUUUUACAUUAACAACGAAAAUGUGUGAAUCAUAUACCCAAGGCUUCUUGAAAGUACUUUAAGUUGCUCUGCUGCUUUGGCAAAUUUCACCGGUAGAAACCAACGUUAUACCAUAGAUUUUACUGUAUAUAACUGGGAUCUUUAUAACUGUGGUUUAAGAAAUAUAUUAACUGCAUUUAAUUUCUCUUUGAAUUUUCUUUAAAUUUAUUAAAACUCUUGGGCUGCAAGCUCCUGUCAUGUA